UUUUUAUUAUUAUUUCAGGGUUACAAUGUUUAUUGUUGGACCAAUAGGAUUUCUUGGUGUUGUGCAGAACGUUAAUGGUCAACGAAAAGAAAGAAUGUACUAUAAAAGAGUCUUACAACAAGAAGAAAGACAAAAAGAAUUGGAAGGACAGAGAUGAAAGAUUAUGGCUGACAAUGUAUUAUUUUGAUAUUAUGACUGGAAAAUGUGGAAGGAUGAAUGAAUGGAUAAUAAUUUAUUGUGAAAAAAAAACAUGACAAAUUUCGACUUGAAUCACUUUAUAGUGUUGUAUAUAUAUGUCAUCGUAUGUUUUUUG
RNAcentral lists this long non-coding RNA (313 nucleotides) under Mytilus galloprovincialis (Mediterranean mussel). Lineage: Eukaryota; Metazoa; Mollusca; Bivalvia; Mytilida; Mytilidae. The record is from RNAcentral.